This 254-nucleotide ribosomal RNA is filed under the name uncultured bacterium. Its description in RNAcentral is "partial 16S ribosomal RNA". It matches the Rfam family "Bacterial small subunit ribosomal RNA", at positions 524 to 776 of the family's 1533-position model. The record is from RNAcentral.
GACGAACCGUGCGAACGUUAUUCGGAAUCACUGGGCUUAAAGCGCGUGUAGGCGGGUCGGCACGUCGGUCGCUGAAAUCCCCCGGCUCAACCGGGGAAGGGGCGCCGAUACGGCCGGCCUCGAGGGGAGUAGGGGGACCUGGAACUUCCGGUGGAGCGGUGAAAUGCGUUGAGAUCGGAAGGAACGCCCGUGGCGAAAGCGAUCGACUGGACCUUUUCUGACGCUGAGGCGCGAAAGCCAGGGGAGCAAACGGG